CCAAGGCCAUGGACUACUCCAAUGGGCUGUUUGACUGCCAGUCGCCCACCUCUCCCUUCCUGGGAAGCCUGCGGGCGCUGCACCUGCUGGAGGACCUGCGGGCGGCGCUGGAGAUGAUGGACCAGGAUGAGAGGGAGGGCCUCCGCUGCCAGGUCCCUGACACCACCGCCGACGGCCUAGUGGAGUGGCUGCAGCAGGGACAACUGACCAACGGAAAUGGCUCCGCCAUGAUCUACCAGGAACGGCUGUCACGGGUGGAGAGCGAUAAGGAGUGUCUCGUCCUUCAGGUGAGUGUUCUCUCAGACCAGGUGGAGGUGCAGGGGGAGAAGAUCAGAGAUCUGGACAUGUGUCUGGAGGAACACAGAGAGAAACUCGACGCCACUGAAGAAACGCUGCAGCAGGAGCUGUUGAGCAGGUCGACCCUGGAGACCCAGAAGCUGGAGCUGAUGACCGAGGUGUCCAGUCUGAAACUGAAGCUGACCACUGUGGCGAGAGAUCUCAGGGAUAGUGAGGGGUUGUACCAGGAAGUCAAUGACCUGCGGUUCAGGGUGACCGAUAUGGAGAAUGAAAGACUGCAGUGUGAGAAGAAACUUAAAUCCACCAAAGAGGAACUGCAGACUCUUCAGAGGCAGCUGGAGGAGCUGAGGAGGCUAAGAGACCAGGCUACACAGGGAGUGCUGACCCCAGACAGAACAGAUGGAGAGAAAGAUGUGGAUGUGCUGAGGAUGAAGAGGGCCAUGGAGUCUCUGACGUCAGCUAACAAUGACAAGGACCGGAGGAUCGAGGAGCUUCAGGAGUCUAUCACACGGUACAAGAAGGUCCAGGACUUGGUGAAAGACACACUGAAUGAAGAUGAUUACGAUGACAUCCAGGAUGACAGAUCCCCCUCCAUUCAGGUCGCCAUGGAUACAGACCGGGCCACCCUGGCAGUUGGGGAGGAGACAGGAAGGAGCUGUGACGAGAUUCCAUCUAUUGCAGUGUUUUCAGAGCUGGAGCAGGAGAGCCUGAUACAGGAACCAGACACAGACAGUCCACCAGAAGUCCCACCACAUUCAGCAGGUAGUCUGGGCCACAUAAACAGCAACACAGAGCAGACCACAGUUGAGGAGCCCAGCCCCCCAUCCACCUCCCCAUCAAACCCCAGCAGUAAUGAAAGCUUUGGGACCAAGAAGGCCCGCUCCUCCUUUGGACGUGGUUUCUUCAAGAUGCGUGGAGGCAAGAGGACGUCCAGUGCCCCAAAUCUGGAUCGCAGCCGGAGUGCGAGUGCGCCUACGUUGGCUGAGACAGAGUGUAAGGGCACAGACCACUUGGACUUGGCUGGUGCCCCGCCACACAAACCUCAGGGAGGAGACAGCAGCCAGACCCUACCUUCCUCACCAGAGGCCAAGAAGAAGUCCAGAGGCUUUAUGAAGUUCUUAGGCAGGCUGAAGAGAAGUCACUCCACCUCGCUAGACCUGGAGGAGACUGAGUUCAGGAGGGGAGGAGUCAGAGCCACGGCCGGCCCCCGACUGGGCUGGUCACGUGACUUACAGCACAGCGCCGAUGAUGUGGGCGCUCCCUUUGCGCAGUGGAGUAAGGAGCAGGUGUGUGUGUGGCUGCAGGAGCAGGGCCUGGGGCUGCACGUGGCUCAAGCCCAGCAGUGGAUCCGCUCAGGAUUCACCCUGCUCCAGGCCUCCCAGCAUGACCUGGAGAAGGAGUUGGGGAUCAAACAGCCCCUCCACAGGAAGAAGCUGCAGCUGGCUCUCCAGGCACUGGGAUCAGAGGAGGAUGUCAGCAAGGCCAAACUGGACCACAACUGGGUGACCAGAUGGCUUGAUGAUAUUGGUCUGCCACAAUAUAAGAGCCAGUUUGAUGAGGGGAGGGUCGAUGGACGAAUGCUACACUACAUGACUGUGGAUGACCUGCUGUCUCUUAAGGUGGGCAGUGUUCUCCACCACCUCAGCAUCAAGAGAGCCAUCCAGGUCCUCCGGCUCAACUUCUACGAGCCCAACUGCCUCCGCCGACGGCCCUCUGACGAGAACAACAUCACACCAGGGGGAGAUCUCCCAGUGGACCAAUCACAGAGUGAUGGAGUGGCUGAGAUCAGUGGACCUGGCUGAGUACGCUCCUAACCUGAGGGGCAGCGGUGUGCACGGGGGGGUCAUGGUGCUGGAGCCUCGCUUCAACGUGGAGUCCCUAGCCCUCCUGCUCAACAUCCCUCCCAACAAGACCCUGCUGCGCCGCCACCUGGCCACCCACUUCCACCUGCUCAUCGGCUCCGCUGCCCAGCGCAGCAAACAGGAGUGUCUGGAGAACCCUGACUACACCCUGCUCACUGCCACCGCCAAGGUCAAGCCCAGAAGGCUGCCGUUCGGUGGCUUCGGGACCCUGCGUAAGAAGCGCCAGGAGGACAGCGAAGAGUACGUGUGCCCCAUGGACGUGGAGAUGCCCAAGAACAGCAGCUUCCAGGGGGGCCUGAGGAUCUACGAGGACAACCUGGACCAGAUGGAGGACUCUGAAGGGGCUGUGAGGCAGAUAGGAGCAUUUUCUGAGGAAAUCGACAACCUGACGAGCAUGCUGAAGGAGGAUGAAUUCUUCAGCGAGGUCUCCUCUCGCUCCCCCCGAGGCCAGCGUCACCGAUGAAGACUCCAACGUGGGUUCCCGCCAAUUAAAUGUAUUAACUUUAGAUGACUGACAGGGGGUGCUGUUUUGCAGCAAUGAUUUGUCUACAUUUGUUUUUGACAAGUAUAUUCUAUUAGACACCUUUUAAUGCAUACUUUGAAAUGUGUAAAAAUACAAGGGAGUACUAAUGAUACUGUCCCCACAACAACAAAUAAAUACCUAAAUGCAUGUCAUUUUGUCCUUUAAACAUUUGAUUGAAGUGCUGUAGAAUUCAAGUCAUUCCUAUGGAGGAGUGCUCCGUCUGAGGAGCACCAAUAUGGCUGACGGGUGGCUUCAAAGCCCGUCAUUGGCUGUUACAUAGCAUCAGCAAUCCAGGGUUUAUACACAUCAUUGGCCCCAGCUGGCGUCACCAUGCAAACACACCCCCCCCCCCUUACACACACACCUUGAUAAGCUGUCUUCUACAACCUGAGACCACCAUGAUGCCUUACGUCGUUGUCGUUUCAGCAAUUUACUAUCUCCUGCUCUGCAUUCCCAAGUGAAGUUAUACAUGUGUAUUUAUUUAAGUUGAAAUGUAGCGCAUGACUUGAGAUUUCAACAUGGGAGCAUUUACUUUAUACUUCCAUACUUUCGUGUUACAGAACUCUUUUUUUUCUAUAUAUUUGUUUGAAUAUCCACAUGAGUCCCUGUACUUACAUGGUAUGCCAUUUUCCUGACUUAUUUUUGGAACCCUCUCAUGCCUAUUAGCAAUUAUAUAACCUAAAAGAUUGGUCAAGUCGCAGUGGGACGUUUUGACUUUAAUCCAUAAUUUCCUCUCCAUGUUCUCAUUUGAUGCUCCUGUUUGUGUCCCAAAGUAAUUCAAUGUUAUCACGUUGGUUUGUCCUGCCAUGUGGAAUUUUAGGAACAUGGAAGCCCAAUGUUCUAGAAUGUAAACAUCACCAGAAAGCAAUAUUGUUUUGCAAGCCGUAACCAUAUCAGUGAACACAAUGUAACGUACUGUGUACUGUUUCUAUGCAUCUUUUUGUGAAUUGUCAAUAAAAACAUGGUAAAAUGAUGGACUACA
This is an RNA transcript of Oncorhynchus gorbuscha (pink salmon), 3664 nucleotides long. It is a transcript of the gene named liprin-beta-1-like, with no coding region annotated. NCBI's taxonomy places the organism in Eukaryota, Metazoa, Chordata, Actinopteri, Salmoniformes, Salmonidae. The transcript has 24 exons. The record is from RefSeq and is a predicted model, not a curated record.